UGGGGAAUAUUGGACAAUGGGCGAAAGCCUGAUCCAGCAAUGCCGCGUGUGUGAAGAAGGCCUUCGGGUUGUAAAGCACUUUAGUGGGGGAAGAAGGUCACGCAAGUGAUUUGACGGUACCCCAAGAAUAAGCACCGGCUAACUCUGUGCCAGCAGCCGCGGUAAUACAGAGGGUGCGAGCGUUAAUCGGAAUGACUGGGCGUAAAGGGCGCGUAGGUGGAUAAUUAUGUUGGAUGUGAAAGCCCCGGGCUUAACCUGGGAAUUGCAUACAAAACUGGUUAUCUAGAGUGGAGCAGAGGUGAGUGGAAUUUCCGGAGUAGCGGUGAAAUGCGUAGAUACCGGAAGGAACACCAGUGGCGAAGGCGACUCACUGGGCUUUAACUGACACUGAGGCGCGAAA
RNAcentral lists this ribosomal RNA (400 nucleotides) under uncultured bacterium. Its description in RNAcentral is "bacterial SSU rRNA". It matches the Rfam family "Bacterial small subunit ribosomal RNA", at positions 355 to 758 of the family's 1533-position model. The record is from RNAcentral.